CCCUUAGAUGUUCUGGGCCGCACGCGCGCUACACUGAUACGCUCAACGAGCUCCUUGGCCGAAAGGUCCGGGUAAUCUUUGAAAUCGUAUCGUGAUGGGGAUAGAACAUUGCAAUUUUUGUUCUUCAACGAGGAAUGCCUAGUAAGCGCGAGUCAUCAUCUCGCGUUGAUUACGUCCCUGCCCUUUGUACACACCGCCCGUCGCUCCUACCGAUUGAAUGGUUCAGUGAGAUAAUCGGACAGAAAACUUGGCAACUGGCAACAGUUGACGUGCAUUUUUGGAAGACGAUCAAACUUGGUCAUUUAGAGGAAGUAAAAGUCGUAACA
RNAcentral lists this ribosomal RNA (326 nucleotides) under uncultured eukaryote. RNAcentral describes it as "partial 18S ribosomal RNA". It matches the Rfam family "Eukaryotic small subunit ribosomal RNA", at positions 1470 to 1796 of the family's 1831-position model. The record is from RNAcentral.